GUCAAAAACAAGCCUCCCAUCGACCAGAGGUUACAGCGAUGUCCAGCUCUUUUCACCGAAAGCCGGGAAAGGCUACAGGACCCAUGCCACAGUGUCUGUCCUUCUUGGCUUCCUGCUCUUCCUCAUCCCUGCCAGGCGACCCUUCUCCUCUUCCUCUUCCUCCUCCUGCUGUAGAAACACAGUCGGAGACUCUGCGCCUCAACCCGCUGCGCACUUUGAUCCCAU
Limanda limanda (common dab) is the source of this 225-nucleotide long non-coding RNA. RefSeq lists it as uncharacterized. The transcript has 3 exons. Lineage: Eukaryota; Metazoa; Chordata; Actinopteri; Pleuronectiformes; Pleuronectidae. The record is from RefSeq and is a predicted model, not a curated record.